RNAcentral lists this non-coding RNA (194 nucleotides) under Candidatus Kuenenbacteria bacterium GW2011_GWA2_42_15. The record is from RNAcentral. Lineage: Bacteria; Candidatus Kueneniibacteriota.
UGCGGGAAACUCCUCUAAAGCUGAUCAGUACUCAUCAGCCUCUAUUAGUUGGCAACAGUGAUGUUGUUUCAUAUGACCGCAAGGUCUUUAAUAUCACAACUGAUAUGCUGGCAGUAAAAAUCUGACAGAUAUGUGGACAAUCCGCAGGAAAGGCUUUUUUAAGCGUCAUGCUUUUAAAAGAAUCCUCAGAGACU